This 323-nucleotide ribosomal RNA is filed under the name uncultured eukaryote. Its description in RNAcentral is "partial 18S ribosomal RNA". It matches the Rfam family "Eukaryotic small subunit ribosomal RNA", at positions 1470 to 1796 of the family's 1831-position model. The record is from RNAcentral.
CCCUUAGAUGUUCUGGGCUGCACGCGUGCUACACUGAUAUUGCCAAUAUGUCAUUCUUAUCCGAAAUGGAUUGGGUAAUCAAGUAAUGAAAUUUCAUGCUUGGAAUCGGUAAUUGUAAUUUUAUCGUGAACGAGGAAUUCCUAGUAAGCACUAGUCAUCAGCUAAUGUUGAUUAUGUCCCUGCCCUUUGUACACACCGCCCGUCGCUACUACUGAUUGGGUGUUCAAGUGAGAUGCUUAGACCCUUGUUGCAUGGUUCAUUAUUGUGCUCCGAAAGGAAAAAGUUUCAAGCUUGAGUGUCUAGAGGAAGUAAAGGUCGUAACA